This is a long non-coding RNA of Oncorhynchus tshawytscha (Chinook salmon), 1526 nucleotides long. The record is from Ensembl. NCBI's taxonomy places the organism in Eukaryota, Metazoa, Chordata, Actinopteri, Salmoniformes, Salmonidae.
CGUCCUGCAAAGAUGACUGCAAGAGCACAGCGCAGAAUGCUCAAUGAGGUAAAGAAGAAUCCUAGUGUCAGCUGAACACUUACAUAAAUCUCUGGAACAUGCUAACAUCUCUGUUGACGAGUCUACGAUAUGUAAAACACUAAAACAAGAAUGGUGUUCAGGGAAGAAGCCACCGCUGUCCAAAAAAAAACUAAUUUUGAAGUUCGCAAAAGUGCACCUGGAUGUUCCACAGCGCUACUGUCAAAAUAUUCUGUGGACAAAUAAAACUCAAAUGAAGUUGUUUUGAAGGAACACACAACACUAUGUGUGGAGAGAAAAAAAGGCACAGCACACCAAUUCUUCCCAAAGAUUAUCAAGACAUUUUGCAGGAGAAUGUUGGGCUAUCUGUCCGCCUAUUGAAGCUCUACAGAUGUUGGGUGAUGCAACAGGAAACGCAGAAGUAAAUCAACAACAGAAUGGCUUCAACAGAAGACAAUACGCCUUCUGGAGUGACCCAGUCCUGACCUCAACCCGAUUGAGAUGCUGUGUCCUGACCUCAACCCGAUUGAGAUGCUGUGGGACGACCUCAAGAGAGCCGUUCACACCAGACAUCCUAAGAAUUUGAACUGAACUGAAACAGUUUUGUAAAGAGGACAUUCCUCCUGACUGUUGCGCCGGUCUGAUCUGCAACUACAGAAAACAUUUGGUUGAUGUUGUUGCUGCCAAAGGAGGGUCAACCAGUUAUUAAAUCCAAGGGUUCACCUACUUUUCCCACCCUGCACUGUGAAUGUUUACACGCUGUGUUACACAGAGACAUGAAAACGUAUCGUUUUAAGUGUGUUAUUAGUUUAAGUAGACUAUGUUUGUGAUAGGUGAGAAUUGUCUUUUAAUUGAAUGAUUAGAAUAUUCCCUCCUGAAACAUAUAAUUGUAUGGAAUUGAUUAGAAUGUUUGAAAUCAUAAUCAAUAAAUGUGUAGUCCUAGUCAGAAUUAGGGUAAAACAAUAUGUCUUUAUGGUAUUUUAAACACAGACUGUCUGAGCUUGGUGCCGACCUGACUAGAGAUUUGGGAGAGAAUGGGGAGUACGUCUCGAGGACAAGGUCACUAUCUCUGUCGGCUGGGAAGUGAGACAGACAGUGUGUGUAGCAGGACAAGGUCACUAUCUCCGUCGGCUAGGUAGUGAGACAGACAGUGUAGCAGGACAAGGUCACUAUCUCUGUCGGCUGGGAAGUGAGACAGACAGUGUGUGUAGCAGGACAAGGUCACUAUCUCUGUCGGCUGGGAGUGAGACAGACAGUGUUGCAGGACAUGUGUGUGAGUAUGUUUGUGUGUGUGUGUGUGUGUAUGUUUGUAUGUGUGUGCGUAUGUGUGUGCGUAUGUGUGUGCGUAUGUGUGUGUGUGUAUGUGUGUGUGUAUGUUUGUGCGUAUGGUUGUGUGUAUGUUUGUGCUUAUGGUUGUGCGUAUGUUUGUGUGUAUGUGUGUGUGUAUGGUUGUGUGUAUGUGUGUGUGUGUGUGUGUGUGUGUGUGUGUGUGUGUGUGUGUGUGUGUG